GCCCCUUGGGUUUUCCCUGACCGGCUUCUUCCCUCCCGCUGAUUAGGUUUUUUGAUUAUUAAUUUUGAUCAGUUGGUGGUAGUGGUGGUGGUGAGAUUGUUGCGCAUGAUAUGUUUCUAUGAAGGCAUCUGGUUCUUUGGAGUCUGGAUAUGGUGUUGAUGAUGCAUUUGUGCUGGCUCAGGAGGUGAAGACGAGGGGGUUUGAUUUGUUGGUGGAGAUUAGCCUGACAUAGGUGUUUCUGAUUUAUGAGAAACAUCCUCUUGCGGCCAUGAAGGAAGAGGGGAAACCAGAUGCCCAGCUCUUCGAUCUCCUAUCAACCCUUCUCCAGCAGGUAUCCUUCUAGCCAUUCCAUUUCAUCCUUGAAUUGUUUCUAUCAUUGCUUUUAUGAUUUUGGGAUGCUCAAUCUCAUGCCAUUUCAAGGGAUAGUACGCAUCGAUCUUUGUUGAAGGAUCACAUUCACUAUUUGAUUUAUUUGACACCAAGGGAUCUUCCAAUUUGUCAGUUGAUUGUGUGGUUAUGAACUUGCUCAGUCAUCAGACUCCCCAAAUUUUUUUCUGUUUUAGAUAAAUUUCAUUAGUUCGGGACUAUAAAAUUGCAGUUUUUUUAUUUUGAUAUUUAUAUUAGUAUUUGAGGUUCUGCAAUCUGGAAAAUAGUUUUACUGGGGAGUUCUAGUUGGGGAUAUUGGCUGGUGAAGUAUUGAUGUUGCUGAGAAAACAAUGGCAAUCUUCGCGCAAGAUUAUAUAUUAAGAUGGUUGCAUUGUAGUUUGGUGAAACUAGAGAACUCAUUGAGGAUUUUUUUUUAUAAUUGUGUUCAAGAAGAAAGAAUCUUUCUAAAAGAAAGGGGAUAUCUGUUUUGCUGAUUUAUUUAGUUUGUUUUGGCUAUGAACUUAUUCAGUCCAUGAAUCAUGAGCAUUAAGGAGAGUAUAAACUCGAGGUAGUUCUAUGGCCCUUUUUACUAGCAUGAGUAAAUUAAAUGAUGAUGAAGAUUCUUUGGGAUUAGCUGACAAAUAAGGUUUUUAUUUUCGCUGAGUUUUGCUGGAUAAGAUAUUGGCUUAUGGCAAUUGUUGGAUCUAGUGAUGAAGCUGUUGCCAGUUUUGAAGGAAUUGGGGUCCUUACCCCAAGGUAUAAACUAUUGAACCAAGUGAUUGCUUGUUCUAUGCUAUGAUAUUUUUCCUUUGAUCUAACACCAGCAUUUCUUUUUUUUCUUUUCUUCUUUUUUUUUUCAAUUUUAUUCAAAGACUAAAGCAAAAAUCUCUCCCUGCAAGGCCCGAUACAGUGUUGAGCUUCAUCUCUCGUUCUUGAGGUUACAAGGACAGGCUAAUGAUUUUAAAAUACAAUACAGCAGUGUUGUCUGACUCCUUCUACUGCCAAAGCUCACAGGAUUGUACAAUCAAGGUAUGGGAAACAACUCAGGGAAAGUUGAUCUGUGAAUUAAAGGGCAUGGACAUUGGGUUAACUCUCUUGCUUUGAGCACUGAAUAUACUUCGAAUUGGUCCUUUUGAUCACACUAGAAAGACAUAUUCAUCCCCAGAGGGAAAAAAAGCGGUGGGUAUUGAGUUUUUGUGGUAUGCUGUUCUUACCAUGUCAUUUGCACGCUUCAAUUUAACUAGUCGUCUAUAGUUGAUUAUCCUUUGUUUUGAUUAGCAUCAGUUUAAGAUCUAUGUUUAUCAUGCAAACAAGAUAAAAUUUGUUCUUUUUAGUGGGAUUA
Molecule: long non-coding RNA, 1708 nt
Organism: Dioscorea cayenensis subsp. rotundata (Guinea yam)
Lineage: Eukaryota; Viridiplantae; Streptophyta; Magnoliopsida; Dioscoreales; Dioscoreaceae
Exons: 5
Source: RefSeq, a predicted model, not a curated record